RNAcentral lists this transfer-messenger RNA (404 nucleotides) under Candidatus Levyibacteriota bacterium. It matches the Rfam family "transfer-messenger RNA". From Rfam's summary of the family: Bacterial tmRNA, also known as 10Sa RNA or SsrA, is named for its dual tRNA and mRNA-like properties. Its role is to liberate the mRNA from a stalled ribosome. Lineage: Bacteria; Candidatus Levyibacteriota. The record is from RNAcentral.
GGGGAUGCAAUGCAUCGACAGAAAUUGCUCUUUUACAACUGCAAGCCGGCGAUGGUUCACAGCCGUAAAAUAGGACCAAAAAUACACGGUAAGUUUAAUCUUACCCAGGGUCUCAAACGCGUUUUCGCGGAUAGAGACAUGUUUAAAGUAGGGCAACCUGCUUUUAACUUCGCUUAAUAGCGCCUUGCUUACGCCCUUUCUUUUCUUAACGGAUAAGCGUAGGUAAAAACCUUGUUAAGAUAGGGUUCAAGAGUUGAUCGACCUUGAAUUAGAAAAAUUAGAUCUUGGAAUUGUUUUCCCUGUUAAUUGGGUCAGAACAAAACGACAAUUUAAAGAUUAACUACGCUUGUAGAUGUUGUAAUAAGUCAUUUUUGGACGGGAGAUCAAACUCCCCAUCUCCACAC